This 167-nucleotide small RNA is filed under the name Minicystis rosea. RNAcentral's name for it is "c-di-AMP sequence". It matches the Rfam family "c-di-AMP riboswitch aptamer (ydaO/yuaA leader)". From Rfam's summary of the family: This family represents a conserved RNA structure found upstream of the ydaO and yuaA genes in Bacillus subtilis and related genes in other bacteria. The record is from RNAcentral. Lineage: Bacteria; Pseudomonadati; Myxococcota; Polyangiales; Polyangiaceae.
AAACAAGAACCGCCGAGUGGCCGGACCGCCGGCCAGCGGGGGACCCAAACGGCACGGGGCGCGCAACGCGCCUCGGGCCAGGGGCGAACCGAGCGCGGCGACGCGCAUCGGCGAGCACUCCAAGCUCGAGCCCGUCAGCUAACCCCGUAGGCGCCUGGAGAAGCCAU